Molecule: long non-coding RNA, 2414 nt
Organism: Pan troglodytes (chimpanzee)
Lineage: Eukaryota; Metazoa; Chordata; Mammalia; Primates; Hominidae
Exons: 5
Source: RefSeq, a predicted model, not a curated record
CCCCAGAAAUCACACACUGUCAUUUCCAUCACAUUUAGUUUAUUAAAAGCAAGUCCCAGCCAGGUGUGGUGGCUCAUGCCUGUAAUCCCAGCACUUUGGGAGGCCGAGGCAGGCGGAUCACUUGAGGUUAGCAGUUUGAGACCAGCCUGACCAACAUAGAAAAACCCCAUCUCUACUAAAAAUACAAAAUUAGCCAGGCAGCAGGGUGUGGUGGCUCACACCUGUAAUCCCAACACUUUGGGAGGCCAAGGCAGGUGGAUCACAAGGUCAGGAGUUCAAGACCAGCCUGGCCAAGAUGGUGAAACCCUGUCUCUAUUAAAAAUACAAAAAUUAGCCAGGUAUGGUGGUGGGUGCCUGUAAUCCCAGCUACUCUGGAGGCUGAGGCAGGAGAAUCGCUAGAACCCAGGAGGCAGAGGUUGCAGUGAGCCGAGAUCACUUUACUGCCCUCUGGCCUGGGCAACAGAGUGAGACUCCAUCUCAAAAAAAAAAAAAAAAAAAAAAUUAGCCAGGCGUAGUGGUGCAUGCCUGUAAUCCCAGCUACUCUAGAGGCUAAGGCAGGAGAGUCACUUGAACCCAGGAGGUGGAGGUUGCAGUGAGCCAAGAUCACGCCACUGCACUCCAGCCUGGGCAACAGAGCGAGACUCUGUCUCCAAAAAAAAAAAAAAAAAAAUUAUUUUCACUUUUUCUGGCCAGGAACCUUGCUAGAUGCGAUAGGUCCAGAAAUUAAAAACUGUCCUGCUCUUGAGAAAACAGCAGGUUAGGCCAUGUGUGGUGGCUCAUGCCUGAAAUUCUAGUGCUUUUGGAGGCCGAGGUGGGAAGAUUGCUUGAGGCCAGGAGUUCGAGAUCAGCCUGGGUAACAGAGUGAGACUCUGUGUCUACCAAAAGUAAAAAAAAUUAGCCAGGCAUGGUGGUGCAAACUUGUAGUCUCAGCUAUUUGGGAGGCUGAGAUGGGAGGAUCACUUGAACCCAGGAGUUGGAGGCUGCAGUGAACUACGAUCACACCACUGCACUCCAGUCUGGGUGACAGAAUAAGACCCAGUCUCUAAAAACAAAACAAAACAAAAAACCAAAAAAAAAAAAAAAAAAAAACCAAAAAAAAAAAAAGAAAGAAAGAAAGAGAAGAAAGAAAAGAAAUGAGUGUAGAAAGGGAUCCUUUAAGAUGAAAUCGAUGCCUCCUCAUGGAGUUCUAAGCCCUCAGAAGUGGAAGUCAACUGGAGUGUGCAAUUUUCUAUCUUUCAACUAACCCAACAGUUUCUACCUCACCCUCCUGCCUUCCUAAGACUCUGUGCACACACCCACCAGAGUGUUAUCACAUUGCAAGACAGAACCCAAUUGUCUUCUUUAUCUCCUCUACCGGACUUUGUGCUCCAUCAGUUGAAGAGUAGGAUGAAGAAAAAAAAAAAGGUUACAUGAAGAUGAUGGAAUUAUAAUCAGGCCUUGAAGAACGGAGACAAUUCCAGCCAUUGUUGUAGAUGUGGAGGCUGAAGGACAUUCCAAUUUGAAGGAACAGAAGAUGGGAUCUCACUCUGCUGCCCAGGCUGGUCUCCUCCUGCCUUGGCCUCCCAAAGUGUUGGAAUUACAAGUGUGAGCCACUGUGCCUGGCCCUGAAUAAGUUUCUUGACCCAGAGUUCCUGAAGAGGAGGACGGGAACCUUGGAGGCUGUUUCUCCAGGCUGAGAUGUGGGUCUCCCUACAUUGCCCAUGCUGGUCUCGGACACCGGAGCUCAAGUGAUCCUGCCUUGGCCUACCAAAGGGCUGGAAUUACAGGAAUGAGCCACUGCAUCAGGCCAACUUGCUACAUUUUAUACUUUCAACUAAUAAGGAAUUCUGGAAGCAGCAUCUACCUCUAUUUUAGCAGGGCUUUUUUCACUGCAAGAAACAAAAAAGUUCACUCAACAAAGCUCAGUGAUGGAGUCUUGUUGUGUUGCCCAGCCUGGCGUCUAACCCCUGGCCUCAAGCGAUCUUCCUGCCUUGGCCUCCCAAAGUGCUGGAAGUAUAGGCAUGAGUCACCACGCCCAGCCAAAUUUGUGUCUUAUUUUUAAUAAAUUUGGACGUGGUCGUAAUUUAAAGAGUUAAAUACUUCCAAAGGCAUGUUAGAAAAAAGAGAAGAUCCUUUUCAACUCUCCUCCAUUUUCAGCUCCUCAGAAAGUCAGAAUCUCAAAAUGUCGCCCAGGCUGGUCUCGAACUCCUAGCCUCAAGUGGUCCUCCUAUCUCAAUCUCCCAAAGUGCUGGGAUUACAGGCAUGGGCCACCAUGCCUGGCCUUUCCUAUAAAAUUGUGAGUGCAAUGCACCUUGUCCUUCUAUCUUCCAGGGUUGCUAUUAAAAAUCCUAAUAUAGGUCAUUUGUUCGUACUCUUAGGAACUUGUAAGAUAUUUUUUUAUCUCUACCAUUCUAAAUUUCACAAGGAUAUGCUUU